AUAUAAGGCGACGUGCUCGACAACAUUUGUAUUUGUAAUAAGCAAACCAGCGAGCGGAUAAGACGGAAUACCUGAAGAGCAGCAGUGAAAAACACGAAAAGCCAGAAACCAAAACCCAAACCGAAACAACUCGAACUUCGUGAGCAGUGGCAAACUGAAAAAGAAACUGAAACAAAAAACACAAGAAACCAAAAGAACCAGCAGUAGCGAAACGAAGCGUAAAUAAACAGAGCACAUUGAAAGAAGCACAAAAGACAACAAAUUAAAAUAAAAUCCAACGCAGACGGCGAGAGAAAAGUUAUUCCGGAAAACGCGCGGAAAAGUGCAUUUCGAAUUUCAUUUUUUUUCGAGUGAAAGUUGGGCGGCCCAGGCCCAACAACGCCCACAAUGAACCGUUCGAACAGCUUUGUCAGCUCGCUGAAAUGGUGGCCGCAGCAGGGUCACAACAACCAGCCGGUGGCGCCACCUGCCGUCGGCAACGGCGGGUACUCCCAAUCGGCGCCCAGCUCGCCCACCUCCAAUUGGCCACCGCCACUGCAGCAGCAUCAGACCGGCACCACAACCGGCACCGCCCACCGCCUGCUGCCGUCCAGCGCACAAAAGAGUGGGGUUGGUGGCACCACCGUGGGCGCCACAUUCGGCAGCAGUGUGGCGGUGCAGAAGCUGCGCGAAUCCAAAUGGUUCAAGCCCGAGGAGCAGCGCAUCUUUUGCGCCGUCGUCGAGUGCGGAUUUGUGGUCGAGAUCCGCAGCAGCGCCGCAGCCGAGGCGGCCGCAGCAAACGCAGCAGCAGCGGCCGCAGCAGCCGCCACCGGUGACAAUGACCUCGACGUGGACUCUCUGGAGGAGCUCGACUGCCCACUGACCAGCCACCCAACGCCGCCACAUCACAGCCACAGCCACAGCCAAAUCCAUAACCAAUCCCAGCGGCUGGUCAUCCCGCGCAACGGGAGCAGUUUCCUGGAGACGCAGGACGAGAACGAGACGCCUGUCGCCUCCUGGUAUGGAAUCGUGCUCUGCAAGGUGGCCAAAGACAAUAAACCCAAGCCAGAGACCAUUGAGAUAUUUUCUGUGAAAAUACGUGAGAACGGCACAUACAAGCUCAUCAAGAUGCAACUGGCGGAUAUCUGGAGUCACGGAUGGGAGCUGCGCAUCAAUAACUUUGCCGACAAGGAGAAGGUGCCACACAACGAGAAGGACAUUCGCAAUCAGGUGUCGGUGGCGCGCAAAGCCAAGCAGAGUUUGUGGAACAACAAUAAGCAUUUCGUGUACUGGUGCCGCUACGGAAGUCGUCAGCAGGACUUGCGGAAGCGACAGGUAACGACGAGUGCCAAUCAUGUGCUGCUGCACCUGAUCAAUUGAUAAGUCAGCCGGCGAUUGAAUGGCUCAUCUGGCCCAGGAAAAAAUGAGAAAUGAGAUAUAGAGGCGAUUGAAGCGCCGACACAAAACCCAUCCAUUUCCUGCUCCUGCUCCUGCUACUGCACCAUCCUCCAACCACCACCUCCCCCGCCACCCGCAAUGUGCAUUGAUUGUUGUAGUUGCAGCAGCAAAAAAAAAAAAAAACAAAAAAAAUAGGAAAAACAUCCUGCGAGGCAAUGUAAAAUCAUGAAAAAAAUCACACAUAACGACCAAAUCAUCAUACUCAAAACUAGAACGCAACGUGGACAAAAAAACGAACUGAGGAACCCGGAUAAAAAGAACCAUUCACUUUUCUAGGACCCCGAUCCAUACGCACAACCAUUAUCAUCGCCAUCCAAGAACCGAUUCAUGCUUGCUUUGCUCAUACAAAUUCGCCAAAAGAAAACCCUGAGAAUUUUCCCGCAACUGAAGCAGUAGAAGCCGAAGAAUGCAUCCAAACCACUUUACCCACAUUUUGCGUGAAACUCGAUCGAUCAUCUUUCUACCGAAAGAAUCUAGUAUCUAGAUUCUGGAUUCUAUUUUUCUGUAAGACUGCAAACUGCCCACUCAAUGUUAAUGAUCUUUAUAUGUGUGCCACCAAAAGCCGUGCGCCUGCUUGUUCGAUUUACCAUCUCGUCAAGAUGAUGCUCUUCUUGAUCCUCCCUCUAUCAAUCAAUUUCAGUUAGAUUUUCCGGCAUCAAGGGCCCAAGAACGUUGGGUCUGCCCGCAUGUCGGUGGGCUCAAUGUCUGGGUAAAUUGACUGGAUUAUCUGGCGAGUGAAAUGCGAGAUUGGCCAAGUGUGGCGAAGAUCGGGGAAGUGGGCCAUGGCUGCCAUUGGGCACCUAGCAACUGAAACCUCCCAUUCUUGCGGCAUUUAUGUGCCUGUAUAUGUAUAGCCGUAUGUAGUCCUGCCACCUCAUCGCCACCAGAGACAUGUCGGAGUGCGUUAAAUGGGGCAGCGUGGGCAUGAAUGCGGGCAUGCUGUUGGUG
This is an RNA transcript of Drosophila erecta, 2385 nucleotides long. RefSeq lists it as uncharacterized. The record is from RefSeq and is a predicted model, not a curated record. Lineage: Eukaryota; Metazoa; Arthropoda; Insecta; Diptera; Drosophilidae. The transcript has 4 exons.